GCCAGGCGUGGUGGCGUGCGCCUGUAGUCCCAGCUACUCGGGAGGCUGAGGUGGGAGGAUGGCUUGAGUCCAGGAGUUCUGGGCUGCAGUGCGCUAUGCCGAUUGGGUGUCCGCACUAAGAUCAGCAUCAAUAUGGUGACCUCCCGGGAGUGCGGGACCACCAGGUUGCCUAAGGAGGGGUGAACCGGCCCAGGUCGGAAACGGAGCAGGUCAAAACUCCCGUGCUGAUCAGUAGUGGGAUCGCGCCUGUGAAUAGCCACUGCACUCCAGCCUGGGCAAUGUAGUGAGACCCUGUCUCU
Molecule: signal recognition particle RNA, 299 nt
Filed under: Cavia porcellus (domestic guinea pig)
Lineage: Eukaryota; Metazoa; Chordata; Mammalia; Rodentia; Caviidae
Description: Metazoan signal recognition particle RNA (ENSCPOG00000032907.1)
Rfam family: Metazoan signal recognition particle RNA
About the family: The signal recognition particle (SRP) is a universally conserved ribonucleoprotein.
Source: RNAcentral